CCCUUAGAUGUUCUGGGCUGCACGCGCGCUACACUGAAGGACUCAACGUGCUUGUCUCCUUGGCCGUCAGGUCUGGGUAACCCGUUGAACCUCCUUCGUGCUAGGGAUUGGGGCUUGUAAUUAUUCCCCAUGAACGAGGAAUUCCCAGUAAGCGCGAGUCAUCAUCUCGCGUUGAUUACGUCCCUGCCCUUUGUACACACCGCCCGUCGCUACUACCGAUUGAAUGAUCCGGUGAGGCCCCCGGAAUGUGGCAACGGCUUCGGUUCGCCGAACUGAUGCUGCGUGAAGCUGUCCAAACCUUAUCAUUUAGAGGAAGGAGAAGUCGUAACA
This 330-nucleotide ribosomal RNA is filed under the name uncultured eukaryote. RNAcentral describes it as "partial 18S ribosomal RNA". It matches the Rfam family "Eukaryotic small subunit ribosomal RNA", at positions 1470 to 1796 of the family's 1831-position model. The record is from RNAcentral.